This 676-nucleotide long non-coding RNA is filed under the name Nicotiana benthamiana. RNAcentral's name for it is "long non-coding RNA (NBEN_LNC023131)". Lineage: Eukaryota; Viridiplantae; Streptophyta; Magnoliopsida; Solanales; Solanaceae. The record is from RNAcentral.
GGGGUCUAUUUGGAAACAGCCUUUCUACCCUAGGGUAGGGGUAAGGUCUGCGUACACACUACCCUCCCCAGACCCCACUAAGUGUGAUUAUACUGGAUUGUUGUUGUUGUUGACUGUAUGAUAUUAUUGCAUGCUAUUUUAUUUAUUGCUCUUACGUUUAGAUAAUUAUUUACGCUAUUUCUCCUGGAGUUAAUAAUGCUCUUUUGUUUUUGUUUUUGUUUUUGUUUUUUGUUUUUCCUUUCCUUCACUAAGCCGAGGGUCGAUUGGAAACAGCCUCUCUGCCCUUUCUGCUGAAGCUACUAAUGCUCUUUUGUUGUUGUUUUUGUUUUUGUUGUUCCUUUCCUUCACUGAGCCGAGGUUCGAUUGGAAACAACCUCUCUGUCCUUUCGGGUAGGGGUAAGGCCCGUAUACAUAUUACCCUCUCCAGACCCCACUUUGUGGGACUAUACUGGGUAGUUGUUGUUGUUGUUGUUGUUUCAUCUCUUUCAGUCUCUUUGAUGAAAUCUAUGUUCGGCUAUUCUCUUUAUUUUGUAUUUGUCUUUUAUUUUCUAGUUUGAUCCGGACAACUGUUUUGCUGGUAGAAUGAAUAAGAUGAAGGAAAAAAAAAUCCUUUUUAAGUUCUGUGUGAUUUUAACAUAAUGCGUAUACAUAUUUAGUAAUUAUUGCCAAGUAUUCU